Molecule: ribosomal RNA, 275 nt
Filed under: uncultured bacterium
Lineage: Bacteria
Description: partial 16S ribosomal RNA
Rfam family: Bacterial small subunit ribosomal RNA
Source: RNAcentral
CCUACGGGAGGCUGCAGUGGGGAAUUUUGGACAAUGGGGGCAACCCUGAUCCAGCCAUGCCGCGUGAGUGAAGAAGGCCUUCGGGUUGUAAAGCUCUUUCAGAUGGGAAGAAAACGCUCGGGCUAAUACCCCGAGUGGAUGACGGUACCAUACCAAGAAGCACCGGCUAACUACGUGCCAGCAGCCGCGGUAAUACGUAGGGUGCGAGCGUUAAUCGGAAUUACUGGGCGUAAAGCGUGCGCAGGCGGCUAGAUAAGACAGAUGUGAAAUCCCCG